GGGCGCAAGCGUUAUCCGGAAUUAUUGGGCGUAAAGAGCUCGUAGGCGGUUUGUCGCGUCUGCCGUGAAAGUCCGGGGCUCAACUCCGGAUCUGCGGUGGGUACGGGCAGACUAGAGUGAUGUAGGGGAGACUGGAAUUCCUGGUGUAGCGGUGAAAUGCGCAGAUAUCACGAGGAACACCGAUGGCGAAGGCAGGUCUCUGGGCAUUAACUGACGCUGAGGAGCGAAAGCAUGGGGAGCGAACAGGAUUAGAUACCCUGGUAGUCCAUGCCGUAAACGUUGGGCACUAGGUGUGGGGGACAUUCCACGUUUUCCGCGCCGUAGCUAACGCAUUAAGUGCCCCGCCUGGGGAGUACGGCCGCAAGGCUAAAACUCAAAGGAAUUGACGGGGGCCCGCACAAGCGGCGGAGCAUGCGGAUUAAUUCGAUGCAACGCGAAGAACCUUAACAAGGCUUGACAUGGACUGGACGUACCUGGAAACAGGUGCCCCGCUUGCGGUCGGUUCACAGGUGGUGCAUGGUUGUCGU
RNAcentral lists this ribosomal RNA (527 nucleotides) under uncultured bacterium. Its description in RNAcentral is "bacterial SSU rRNA". It matches the Rfam family "Bacterial small subunit ribosomal RNA", at positions 530 to 1055 of the family's 1533-position model. The record is from RNAcentral.